This 433-nucleotide ribosomal RNA is filed under the name uncultured bacterium. RNAcentral's name for it is "partial 16S ribosomal RNA". It matches the Rfam family "Bacterial small subunit ribosomal RNA", at positions 29 to 507 of the family's 1533-position model. The record is from RNAcentral.
AGCGAACGCUGGCGGCAGGCCUAACACAUGCAAGUCGAACGAACUCUUCGGAGUUAGUGGCGGACGGGUGAGUAACACGUGGGAACGUGCCUUUAGGUUCGGAAUAACUCAGGGAAACUUGUGCUAAUACCGAAUGUGCCCUUCGGGGGAAAGAUUUAUCGCCUUUCGAGCGGCCCGCGUCUGAUUAGCUAGUUGGUGAGGUAAUGGCUCACUAAGGCGACGAUCAGUAGCUGGUCUGAGAGGAUGAUCAGCCACAUUGGGACUGAGGCACGGCCCAAACUCCUACGGGAGGCAGCAGUGGGGAAUCUUGCGCAAUGGGCGAAAGCCUGACGCAGCCAUGCCGCGUGAAUGAUGAAGGUCUUAGGAUUGUAAAAUUCUUUCACCGGGGACGAUAAUGACGGUACCCGGAGAAGAAGCCCCGGCUAACUUCGUG